AGGGACUUAGGAUAACAUAUGAGUCCAAGGACCUUCAAAGUCCUAAGCGAGGGUGAAAAUCCCCCAGCCCCUG
Molecule: transfer RNA, 73 nt
Filed under: Scomberomorus concolor (Monterey Spanish mackerel)
Lineage: Eukaryota; Metazoa; Chordata; Actinopteri; Scombriformes; Scombridae
Description: tRNA-Trp
Rfam family: tRNA
About the family: Transfer RNA (tRNA) molecules are approximately 80 nucleotides in length. Their secondary structure includes four short double-helical elements and three loops (D, anti-codon, and T loops).
Source: RNAcentral